This 253-nucleotide ribosomal RNA is filed under the name uncultured bacterium. RNAcentral describes it as "partial 16S ribosomal RNA". It matches the Rfam family "Bacterial small subunit ribosomal RNA", at positions 524 to 776 of the family's 1533-position model. The record is from RNAcentral.
UACGAAGGGGGCUAGCGUUGUUCGGAAUUACUGGGCGUAAAGCGCACGUAGGCGGAUAUUUAAGUCAGGGGUGAAAUCCCGGGGCUCAACCCCGGAACUGCCUUUGAUACUGGGUAUCUUGAGUAUGGUAGAGGUGAGUGGAAUUCCGAGUGUAGAGGUGAAAUUCGUAGAUAUUCGGAGGAACACCAGUGGCGAAGGCGGCUCACUGGACCAUUACUGACGCUGAGGUGCGAAAGCGUGGGGAGCAAACGGG